GCACAUUACACAAACAAGCAAAAAUAAUGUGGAAUAUGGUAAGAACUGUAGAAUAAACUGAAAUACAAAUUACAAAGGAGGCUCGAUGAGCAUUUGAACAUCAUUUUCAUUUCCAUAAUUUUCUCAUAUCUUACCAAAAUAUAUAUCAAAAAUUGAAGGACAAAGAAAAAAAAAAGAUCAGCAGAUACACAGAAAAUCUAAAAUCUCUCCAGAAUGCUUUAUGUACCUAAGCUCCACUGUGACCAGCAGUCAAGAAUUUGAAUGCUUCCUACAAAAAGACUCCCAGUUGUACCUAAUUGUCCGAGAUGCCUGUUACACAUGGACAUUAUGGGGAGAUGGUUACAUCCAUUUGCCUUGCUCAGUAGCAUUUAUUUAAGCCAACCAUAAAAAUCCUGAGACAGAGAAAACCUUAAUUUCCGUCUAGGUGAUUGUACUCUGGAAAAGAUGUAAUGAGGACAGAUGAAUGUCCAACUCUUGCUGGUGAAGUCUCUUAAUGCUCGCCUCUCAAUUUAAGUGUAAAGUAGUUUUGCUUCCUCCAGAGAAAACAUUUCAAUCAGCCAUUUCUAGGGCUGGUGGGUUGACCAGCUGUCUUAGGCGGCAUUAUUACUCUUAUAAUGACACAACAAAAUGAGAUAGGACUGCUCCAUGAAUGAUGUCUUUUCCUCACAAUAUAGUUAGGUUUUUAUUCAUUUUACUGAAUGUGCUUUAGAAAAUGAAGCAUCUGCCUGUUUGCCUUUCAAGAGCUCAGUGACAAUAUGACAUUUUAAUGCCUUGCUUUAUCUUUCUGUGUUUUUUUUUUAAAUUUGCUUUUGCUUUCUGCAUUUCAUUCUUAAGUUUUGUCAGCAGAAUGAAAGAGUGUAGAGGUUACCAACAUGUAUGAAAUGCUUUAUGGCAUGGGUUAAAGCUAGGUCUUUAAAAUCAAGCCCAUUUGUACUUUUCUGUUUAAAUAUAAAAUUAAUUUUUGUCACAUAUAGUCUGCAACUAAUCAUUGGUAUAUUCAUUCCAAAAUGUUUGUCUUUUCUUUCCUGAGUAUCACGGUGAGCAUCAUAUAUUGACUAAAACAGACAUGGUGCCCACCCUUACAGAGCUUACAGUGCCAGAGGGAGAGCAGGUAAAUGCCCAGAUACAUAUUGAACUCACAACCAUUAUAAGACUUAUGAAGAAAAGAAAGAUGAUUAUCAAAGAGUAUGAAAGUGAGAACUGAAAUACCAGAAAGUACCUAUAAAAAGGAAUGUUUAAGGUUGAAAUAGAAAACAUAGGUAGGCAAAGAAUGAAGAAAGAGCAUUCUGAGGAAAAGGAACAGCCUAUGUGAAAACAGGGAGGCAGGAAAAAACUAGGUACCGUGUAUAUUCUGGCACUGGCAGUAGGCAGAGAGACACCUCCAUCACAGGUGUCCAGACCUCAUCCCCAGAACCUGGGGAUAUUUUAAGGGACUCGCCAAAGGGGCUUUGCAGAUGAGGGAGUUAAAGAUUUUGAGCUAGGUAAAUUAAGUUGUCCUGGAUCCUCUGAAUUUGCACAAUGUUAUCACAUGAGUCCUUUUGGGCUAUGGUCAGAAGGAGAUAUCAUUAGAAAAAACAUGGUCAAAAAGAUGAAACUGUGCUAGCUUUGAAGAUGAAGAAGGGGGCAAACACCAGCAAAACAAUGUGGCAUCCUCUAGAAGCUGGAAAAGGCAAGGACACAGACGCUCCAUUUUUUUCUUCUGACAAUAAUUCAGACCUGCAUAACUUGCGUUCAGCUCAGAGAUAACCUUGUCAGAUUUCUAACUUACAGAACUUUAAGAUAAUGAAUUUUGUGGUAAUUUUUUGUAAGACCAAUAGAAAACUAAUACACUUUUACUCUUUCCACCAUGAAGAAAAAAAGAAUAGUCCAUCUUCUGUGAAUCAAGACAUCCUCUGUCACUAAACAAUGGGAAAUCAUGCAUCUGAACAUGGAAAUCAGUGUAGCAGGAAACAGAGGUCUUGGAAUCAAAUAGGAGCCAUAUACACAUUUGAUUUUAUAUUUGGUCAUUUGUAAAGUGGGGGUGUGAUAGUUAAAUAGGAAAAGUAGGUGGAUGGGUAGAUAGGUCAAUAGAUCAUACAUACAUACAUGCAUUCAUACACGCAUGUACAAAUAUAUCAAUACAUAGACACAUACACAGAUAUAUACUAUUAUGAGAUAAUUUUUUUAAAAGUAUCUGAAAGUACUUGGCACCUAGUGAAAAUUCACUGACUGUGACCCCUAGCUGUGGCAUACCUGUGAACCCUAAUUUUUAAACAGUCUUUGGAAACAUCUCCAUCUUCUCUCAUACCUAGUAUCAAUUUACAUGGUGGUCAGAAGAAAAGUUAGUUCUCAGGUUUUCAUUUUUGCUUCUGCUUCCAAAGAAUUAGCACUGCUUUUCCUUUUCCACUUCUAAAUUAGCAAAUUGAUAGAACAUCAUUUGAUAAUCUCUUUAAAAAUUAGGAAAGACAGGGAGCUUCUGUCCUUGGCACAGUGGAAACGAAUCUGACUAGUAUCCAUGAGGAUGUGGGUUUGAUCCCUGGCCUUGCUCAGUGGGUUAAAGAUCCAGUGUUGCUAUGAGCUGUGGUAUAGGUUGCAGAUGUGGCUCAGAUCUGGCGUUGCUGUGGUUGUGGUGUAGGCCAGCAGAUGUAGCUCUGAUUUGACCCCUAGUCUGGGAACUUCCAUAUGCUGAAGGUGCAGCCCUAAAAGAAAAAAAAAAUUAGGAAAGACAGGAGUUUCCUCACUGGCCAGGGAACUUCUGUAUGCCAUGGGCACAGCCAAAAGAAAUUUUUAAAUAAUAGAUAAAUAAUAAAUGAAUACAUAUAAAAUUUAGGAAAGACAGAAACAUACCCCACAAUCUAAUACCUCUUUCCCUUCAAGAAUACCCAAGUUUGUCAACAGUUUUUAGAUUGUAAGAUUAUCUAUAUUCAAUUUUCCAUAAUAUGUUGCCCUAUCUUUCAAAAUAUAGAGGGAAUUAUUAUACCUCUUUGUUGCGAGACAUGUUUUUAUAAUAUUUUCUUAGCCUCUUUGCUGAAAACUCCAUGUUGUCCUUCCUUACUUUGCCCUGUCUUUCCUGCUU
This 3055-nucleotide long non-coding RNA is filed under the name Sus scrofa (pig). Its description in RNAcentral is "lncRNA (ENSSSCG00000054429.1)". Lineage: Eukaryota; Metazoa; Chordata; Mammalia; Artiodactyla; Suidae. The record is from RNAcentral.